This is a non-coding RNA of Camelina sativa (false flax), 909 nucleotides long. Lineage: Eukaryota; Viridiplantae; Streptophyta; Magnoliopsida; Brassicales; Brassicaceae. The record is from RefSeq and is a predicted model, not a curated record.
CUAAACUCUUCCAACUCUCUACGUGUCAUUGUUUGGUUGGUGGGGGUUUCUCUCACUUGGUUUCAUCCUCGUCCUUCUCUUCCUCAUCUCGGUCCAGAGGACGAUUCAGCGAGAGAGAAACCGUCAGCUUAUUCGGUAAUUUUACCACUCCUAAAUGUCAACUUCUCUCUCUCUCUCUCUCUCUCUCUGCUUAGCUAAAUCUGGUUUGUUCUUGAUUGUUGCUACUGAUCCCAAGAAGAAGAUGGCGAUUGAUUCGAUGCAGAGAACAAACAACCUCCGAUGGGGAGAAAUAGAUGAGGAAGAUGACCUUUGGUUUCCUAAGAAAGUGUUUGGGCCGGACCAAAAACGGUGUAAAUAAAGCGACGGAGCUGGAUUAAGUUCAGUGACGCCGCCCAUUAGGAUGCUGGUAGUAGCUACCUCACAAUGUGUUCAACCGGGCUGCAAACAUUAAUAGUGUGUGUGAGAUGCAAGACUUGGAAUGUAUUAACAGUGUGUGUGAGAUGCAAGUUCUGAGAGGAUGAAGCUGUGAUGUGCAAGUCUUGGAAUGCAUAAAUGGCAAGUAGAUACAAGUGUGUGUUCGAGAGUGUUUGUCAAAAAGACCACCUGUUGUCUUUCUUCGAGCUGGUCCUGAAGAUGGUGUCCCUUUUUUGUCUUCGUUCGUUCUGGAGCUUUCUAUUUUUGUUCUCUCUAUACCUAGGUCUGGUCUGGUCUGUAAGGGAAAAGUAUACCAUUCCCUUGGUGAUGACACACUGUUUAACACCCUCUAGUGUCCUAGACUAGUAAGUUGUGUCGAGUCUCAAGACAUAUUUUAUGUUUGGAUAGUUUGUUGAUUGUUUACUCUUCUAAACCAUCUGAAAUCUUCAACAGUUCUUGCUUUUUGUGCUUGAAAGUUGUAUCUUUUAUUCACUA